Molecule: transfer RNA, 72 nt
Filed under: Ictidomys tridecemlineatus (thirteen-lined ground squirrel)
Lineage: Eukaryota; Metazoa; Chordata; Mammalia; Rodentia; Sciuridae
Description: Spermophilus tridecemlineatus (thirteen-lined ground squirrel) tRNA
Rfam family: tRNA
About the family: Transfer RNA (tRNA) molecules are approximately 80 nucleotides in length.
Source: Rfam by way of RNAcentral
AGGGUUGUGGCUCACUGGUAGAGCACUUACCUGGCAUGUGUGAGGCACUGAGUUCGAUCCUCAGCACCACAU